This 467-nucleotide ribosomal RNA is filed under the name uncultured bacterium. RNAcentral's name for it is "partial 16S ribosomal RNA". It matches the Rfam family "Bacterial small subunit ribosomal RNA", at positions 28 to 506 of the family's 1533-position model. The record is from RNAcentral.
GACGAACGCUGGCGGCGUGCUUAACACAUGCAAGUCGAACGGAAAGGCCCUGCUUUUGUGGGGUGCUCGAGUGGCGAACGGGUGAGUAACACGGGAGUAACCUGCCCUGGACUUUGGGAUAACUUCAGGAAACUGGGGCUAAUACCGGAUAGGAGCUCCUGCUGCAUGGUGGGGGUUGGAAAGUUUCGGCGGUUGGGGAUGUACUCGCGGCUUAUCAGCUUGUUGGUGGGGUAGUGGCUUACCAAGGCUUUGACGGGUAGCCGGCCUGAGAGGGUGACCGGCCACAUUGGGACAGAGAUACGGCCCAGACUCAUACGGGAGGCAGGAGUGGAGAAUAUUGCACACUGGGCGGAGGCCUGAUGCAGCAACGCCGCGUGGGAGAUGACGGCCUUCGGGUUGUAAACCGCUUUCGCCUGUGACGAAGCGUGAGUGACGGUAAUGGGUAAAGAAGCACCGGCUACCUCCGU